This 403-nucleotide ribosomal RNA is filed under the name uncultured bacterium. RNAcentral describes it as "partial 16S ribosomal RNA". It matches the Rfam family "Bacterial small subunit ribosomal RNA", at positions 28 to 526 of the family's 1533-position model. The record is from RNAcentral.
GACGAACGCUGGCGGCGUGCCUAAUACAUGCAAGUCGAACGCAGUGGGGACGGGUGAGUAACACGUGGGUAACCUCCCAUCAGAGGGGAUAACACUUGGAAACAGGUGCUAAACCGAUACUGAUGGAUGGACCCGCGGUGCAUUAGCUAGUUGGUGAGGUACCGGCUCACCAAGGCCACGAUGCAUAGCCGACCUGAGAGGUGGAUCGGCCACACGGGGCCUGAUACACUGCCCAGCAGCCUACGGGAGGCAGCAGUAGGGAAUCUUCGGCAAUGGUCGAAUGUCUGACCGAGAAACGCCGCUUGAGUGAAUAAGGUUUUCGGAUCGUAAACCUCUGUUGUUAGAGAAGCGGUAUCUAACCAGAAAGCCACGGCUAACUACGUGCCAGCAGCCGCGGUAAUAC